AGAGUUUGAUUAUGGCUCAGGAUGAACGCUGGCGGCGUGCUUAACACAUGCAAGUCGAACGAACCUUCGGGUUAGUGGCGGACGGGUGAGUAACGCGUGAGAAUCUGCCCUCAGGAGGGGGAUAACGGUUGGAAACGACCGCUAAUACCCCAUAUGCCUACGGGUGAAAUGAAUUUCGCCUGAGGAUGAGCUCGCGUCUGAUUAGCUAGUUGGUGAGGUAAUGGCUUACCAAGGCUUCGAUCAGUAGCUGGUCUGAGAGGAUGAUCAGCCACACUGGGACUGAGACACGGCCCAGACUCCUACGGGAGGCAGCAGUGGGGAAUUUUCCGCAAUGGGCGAAAGCCUGACGGAGCAACGCCGCGUGAGGGACGAAGGCCUCUGGGCUGUAAACCUCUUUUCUCAAGGAAGAAGAUAUGACGGUACUUGAGGAAUAAGCCACGGCUAAUUCCGUGCCAGCCGCCGCGGUAAUAC
This 471-nucleotide ribosomal RNA is filed under the name uncultured bacterium. RNAcentral's name for it is "bacterial SSU rRNA". It matches the Rfam family "Bacterial small subunit ribosomal RNA", at positions 8 to 526 of the family's 1533-position model. The record is from RNAcentral.